This 497-nucleotide ribosomal RNA is filed under the name uncultured bacterium. Its description in RNAcentral is "partial 16S ribosomal RNA". It matches the Rfam family "Bacterial small subunit ribosomal RNA", at positions 28 to 507 of the family's 1533-position model. The record is from RNAcentral.
GACGAACGCUGGCGGCGUGCUUAACACAUGCAAGUCGAGCGGUGAAGGCUGGCAUUUGUACCGUCUUGAAGUGGCGAGCACGGGUGUGUAACGUGUGGGGCAUCCGCCUUUGAUUGGGGGACCAUAAUUGGAAACGGACGCUUAUAGCGUAUAAACUCUUUCAACACAAGUUUUAAGGUUGAAAGUUGCCAUUUCAUCAUUCAAAGCUGAUUCCGCGUUGUAUUAGUUAGGUGGUGAGGUACAGGCUCUCCAAGGCGAGGUUACACAGCCGAGCAGAGAGGGUGAUCAGCCACAUUGGGACUGAGACACGGCCCAAACGCCUACGGGAGGCAGCAGUAGGGAAUCUUCGGCAAUGGACGAAAGUCUGACCGAGCAACGCCGCGUGAGUGAAGAAGGUUUUCGGAUCGUAAAACUCUGUUGGUAGAGAAGAAAGUGGGUGAGAGUGGGAAGCUCAUCAAGUGACGGUAACUACCCAGAAAGGGACGGCUAACUACGUG